GAGAGAAUCCUGUGCAUGUUUAAAAGUGUGAAGACAUGGUUUCAUAAAAAGGGUGAAGGUGCUCGUGCUGUCCCUCUGGCAGGCCAUGUCGGCUUCGACAGCAUGCCUGACCAGCUGGUCAACAAGUCUGUCAACCACGGAUUCUGCUUUAACAUCCUCUGUGUUGGUGAGACGGGACUGGGGAAGUCCACCCUGAUGGACACGUUGUUUAACACCAAGUUUGAGGGUGAGCCCACCCAGCACAACCAGCCGGGAGUCACGCUCAAAUCCAACACCUAUGAACUCCAGGAGAGUAAUGUGCGCCUCAAACUCACUGUUGUCAACACCGUGGGCUUCGGAGACCAGAUCAAUAAAGAAGACAGCUACAAGUCCAUUGUGGAGUUUAUUGAUGCCCAGUUUGAAGCAUAUCUACAGGAGGAACUGAAAAUCAAGCGCACGCUACACAGCUACCACGACACCCGCAUCCAUGCAUGCCUGUACUUCAUCGCUCCCACGGGACACUCGCUCAAAUCCCUGGACUUGGUGACCAUGAAGAAACUUGAUAGCAAGGUCAAUAUUAUCCCAAUCAUUGCCAAAUCAGAUGCCAUCUCCAAGAGCGAGCUGGCCAAGUUCAAAAUCAAAAUAACCAGUGAGCUGGUCAGCAACGGAGUGCAGAUCUACCAGUUCCCCACUGAUGACGAGUCUGUGGCAGAGAUCAACUCCACCAUGAAUAGCCAUUUGCCGUUUGCUGUGGUGGGGAGCACAGAGGAAGUGAAGAUUGGGAACAAGAUGGUGAAGGCCCGGCAGUACCCCUGGGGGACGGUGCAGGUGGAAAACGAGAAUCACUGUGACUUUGUCAAACUGCGAGAAAUGCUGAUCAGAGUGAACAUGGAGGACCUGCGAGAGCAGACUCACACACGCCAUUAUGAGCUCUACCGCCGCUGCAAACUGGAGGAGAUGGGCUUUAAGGACACAGACCCUGACAGCAAGCCCUUCAGUCUGCAGGAGACGUAUGAAGCUAAGAGGAACGAGUUCAUGGGUGAGCUGCAGAAGAAAGAAGAAGAAAUGAGGCAAAUGUUUGUCCAAAGAGUCAAAGAGAAGGAAGCCGAGCUUAAAGAAGCAGAGAAAGAGCUGCACGAGAAGUUUGACCGUCUGAAGAAACUCCACCAGGAUGAGAAAAAGAAACUGGAGGAAAAGAAGAAGUCCCUGGACGACGAGCUCAACACGUUCAAACAGAAAAAGACUGCAGCAGAGCUCUUGCAGAACCAAGCUCAGCAGGCAGGGGGCUCUACCACACUCAAGAGGGACAAAGAGAGGAAAAACUGAUGUGACUCCGUGCCUGUUAGAAAAGGAAGAAGACACUUGCACUGAGAAGUUAACUUCUCCCACACUUGCUGCAUGCUGCAUGAGGCACCUUUUCUGCUUAGGAUCCCUGUAGAAAAAGUGCUCCCUUGUGGCCAUCCUGCUGUGAAUGAGUUUCCACCCCAUCAUCCUUUACCGUGCCCCCCUCCCCCACCCUCACCCCAAACUCCCGUAAUUCAACCCUCCACAUGCUUCCCCCCCCCCUGCUCUGUGGAAGACGCUGGGCAUUGCUAUCAGUUUACAUCACCUGUUUAUGCUGAAUGAUGCUUGUCUAUUAUUUGGUUUGUACAAGCAAUUAUUCAGCGUGUCUUUUUAUGCAAAUUGACAAAAAAUGCAUUCCAUAUUUGUUUUAUAUUCAGUGGUUUCUUUGCAUGAUGGAGUGAGCUUUUUUUAAUAUUAACAUACAUGACUACUGUUGUGAUGGGCAGAAAUGUAUUGAGGCUAAAGAGAAACAUGCAUCAGACACUGGGACCUGAGAGUGAAGAAAGAAUUAAAGCCACUGAGGAUUGAUGCGAGGAUGGUUGAAGCUAAUGUUGCAUAACCCUGAUCCAUCUUCAGCUUAGUGAUUUUUAAUUUUACAAACUCAGUGCAACAGCAGCCUAUGGAGUAACUGUAAACAACAGUCAUAAACAUAUUUCUUAGUAGGUAGUAAUUACUUAACAGUUGGCUUGGGGUUGAGCUAGUUUGUUAUUAGUUAAAGGUUAUAAUCCUUAAGAUUUCAGUUGACACCAGUGAUUACCAUGUUAACAGCAAGUGUGGUUUUAUACUACAGCGCUGAGCAGCUACUUUGUCAGAAAUACAACAGCAGAGCGACUGGUGUAGCUGUUUACUGUGUAGCCACACAAACUCAUUGUUUUGGUUUUAAAAAAUGUAAGAAAUCUGUCAGAACUUGGCCUUUUACCAUCAUGUGCAACUACAAUCUGAUUCCAUGCUGCAUACGACGCAAGUAGUUACACCCUGGCGCUAAUCUUAGUGACAGAUACAUUACGUUUGCUGUGAUUGCUUCACAGUAAAAGGCACCACGUUUCAUCAGUUGAAUGCUUUUCAGCGUGAAGCAGCAGCAGCAGGAAAGUGCAAGUAGCAGUAUGGCUCUGACACGGCUUUAUUAGAGGGAACCAUAAACAGUGAGUCUGAUGAGAUAAAUUUACAGUAAUGUUUGAUUAUAUGGUCACAUUAUUUACUGUGAAUACUGUGUGUGUGAAGGCAGUUUGAAAUCUAGCUCAGAAAUGGCGGACCCUGCCGCUAACAAUGAAAACUACAUUUAAAGAGGUAAUUACUGAAUACAUAUACGUUAAAUGGUAGCUGCUGUGAAAAUGAUGACCAUAAAUAGGAUAGCACUCCAUAAAAAUCUUACAUUAAAAGUUCCAUUAAAACAUUAAAAGUUCCACUAGUUAUUACUGCGGCCGUACAAGUUUGGGCUUGAAGUAAAAAAUAGAAACAGAGAUCUCGUUCUCUAUUUUUGGUAUUUAUGUCCCUUUGCUGAUGUUGUUUCACUUUAGCCUGAUGCAUGAGAAGAUGUGAGCCUAAUCUCUUUGCCACUUCUCCCAUACCUCAUUCAUUGUCAUGUGUUUUGUGCAUAUUUGUAUUAGCUUUCACAUUUGCACUUUUUUUUUUUUUACACACACAAAUGUGAUAUUUUUAAGUAUAUAUUAAUGUUGUCAGUGCAAUUGUAACUUUCUUUUUAUUUGACUUAUUAUGAAGGCACAUUUAAAAGUCAUUCCUCGUGAUGUCCAUUGUCCUGCAGGGACCAGUGUUGUUUGUAUCCGUGUUACGCAUAAAAAAUACAAUAUCUCAAAAGAAAAUAAAUAAAGGCCAAUUUCACCAAAUGUUACAA
Molecule: RNA transcript, 3175 nt
Organism: Lates calcarifer (barramundi perch)
Lineage: Eukaryota; Metazoa; Chordata; Actinopteri; Centropomidae
Gene name: septin-6
Exons: 12
Source: RefSeq, a predicted model, not a curated record